GUCUCUGUUGACUUCAGGUGCUCUGAUGUGUCCUCCACCAUUGAUUCUUCUCUGACCAUGGUUAUGGGAGAUGAUAUGGUUAAAGUGAUUGCUUGGUAUGAUAAUGAAUGGGGUUACUCUCAGAGAGUUGUUGAUUUGGCUGACAUUGUUGCCAAUAACUGGAAGUGAAGACCUCAUCUUUUGAUGUCUGCUCCAUUUUUUAUUACUGUUAUAUGAUUCGGAAUGUAUAAUUGUAGUUCCUGAGUUUAUGUAUUUGUGCUCUGCAAUUUUAUAGUAAUAAACUUUAUAUUCAAACAUAUACAUCCUUCUCUUAAACUUAUAUUGAUUUCAACAUGUUUCACAAUAUUCAGAGAUAACCAAACUAAAGUCAAUUCUUAAGCAUUAAUCUGUGUGUGAUUAGUUGAUUUCUCUUUGGUGUCAUAUGUGUCUUUUUUUUUCCAUUUGGUGUCCAAAUAGCAUAUGAAGACACAAGUCUAUCUUUAUCACUUAAAACAGACAAAGAGAUAUCAAAAUAUUCCAGACAAAGUUUGAGAUUAUGUAAUGUCACAUGCAAACUGAAGUCAUGUUUGCUUCUUAUGUUUCAACUUGUUUACAUUAGUAUUAGAAGCAUCUUUUCAACUGAAUCCAAAAGCUAAAAUAAAGAUUGAAAAAGAACUAAUUAACUACAAAACAGUAACAAGGAUCUAUUUGAGACUCCUCUAGCUUUGAAGAAUCAUCCUGCACUGUCUCUUCCUCUGAUCUCAAUUUCCUUUCUUCUUCUUCUUCUUGCAUUACUCUUAGAAACUCUUCAAGUGCUCUCUGCAUCCACUCAUACCGACACAGCUCUAAUGCUUCUUUAACAUUCAACUGCAACAUUUUUAAUUUCCCAAAGUUAUAUAUGAAAAGAAAGAAUCAUCACUUUAUUCGAUUUUUAAACUUGUUAUUAUUAUGUUUUGAGCAUUUUUAAAUUACCCAUUUCCUCUCACGAUUCUCACGUUCUGGCCAUUCCUCUAGUUCUUCGGUUACCUCUAACGCAAACAUAUAUCCUUUGCAUCCACCAUAGCAUUCAUCCUCCUCAUUACAACUACUACUUUUGCUUCUAAAUUCCCAAACUCCUAAAGGAACUUCCUGAAAAAAAAUGACCAAACAAAAUGACAAACAAAACUUUCUCAAUCUCUUUGUUUUAAACAGUUUUAAGAAACUUACUCUAAGGCUUCCUUUAACUCCAGCCUCUUCCAUGGCUUCACGAGAAGCAGCUUCAAGAACUGUCUCAUCAUCUUCCCAUCCUCCCUGAUAAUAGUUAUAACAUACACAACAACCAAAAGAGUUUUCAUAAAGACAGUACGAGAGGGAGAUUUUCAGAAGAAAUUAAGAAAAACCUUUGGGAAGACAAGAUCAUGGCGAUUAGGAGAUGAAACCAUGAGAAGUUGAAGCUUGUUUACAAAUUCAACACUUGUGUUUUCUUCACUUCCCUCGUCUUUGAUCAGCCUAUACGGAAUGCAUCUGUUCAUCAAACUCUAGGAAAUCAUUGAUAUGAUGAUGAUGAUGAUGAUGAAAAGAAGAAGAAGAAGAAGAGAAUGGACUUUUAUGUACCCAGAAACGAGACGAAAGUUGUUGUCGUAACGUUGACGAUCUCGUCCUGUCCGAGAUGAAAGAACCGACAUUGAUGAAUCUGCAACAAAAGAUUUCAACACAAAACCAAAAAAAAAAAGAGAAUGCUGUCUGUUACGUUCUUGAAAAGCCCUCUCUUCUUGAUUAUUAGGGUUUAUUAAGAAACAUGAUCAUCAUCAUGGGAUAUCAUUUCAUCUUCAUAUUCGCGAGAAACAACAACUCUCGUUUUUUAUUUUCCAAAAUUAACGUUUUUUCAAAAAAAAAAUCUUCUUGUUUGUACGUUCUCUCUAUUUUUAGGGAGAGAGGAGUGUAUACCAACGAGCAUCUCUAUUUAAAUCAUUUAAAAAAAAAAAAAAAUAUCAUUAAAAUGAAGUUACUAGGAAGGUGACGGAUCUGAUUCCAUAAUUGACUUUCUUUCUACAGUUCAUAUCAACAGAGUAAUAUUCUCCACUAAAGAGAAUAACUCUGGAUAAAUAAAUGCUACAAAAACUUAUCUUGAGAUGUGUUUCCAAGGAGACCAUUGACACCGAAUUGGUAUUUACUACUUUCAAUCUGUUUCGAGCUAUAUUCCAUUUUUAGUAUUUCGGACAAUGAAAAAGUGUAUCUCUUAACACAAGUUGCUAUAGAGUUGAGUUGUGUCGGAUAAUAUGUUUCAUAAAUCCUUAAUCCAUGUGUGUUAAGAACUUUACUGUUAUUACCAAACCCCUACUUGCAUGGUACUUCCAUUGAUGUAUUUGGAAGCACGAACCAUUUCUUGUAUGUUACGUUUUGUUGAUGAGAUGUUUUUUGCUCUUCUCUUAUGUUUUUUAUUUUUACUAAAAUGAGGCUAUUGUACAUGUGGAUAUCUCACCAGACUGCAUGAGUCGCGAUGUGAGAGUAAUAUAUCUUCUUGAUCGUCAAAAACCAAAAAAAAAAAAAUAAUAAUAAUAAUAUGAGCACAGGUUUAAGAAACAGUGAAUUUGGUUAUAUUUUUUAAUAGUAUGUAAGAAUCUGCUGCAAAUAAUAAGACCAUCGUCAUAGCAGUUUCUUAGAUGAGUUUUUAAAGAAAACAAGGCAAUUAAUUAAAUGGAAACAAAAUUAAAAGCUUAUAAUCGAUCCUUUAUAACACGUGUCAGCUUCUAGGGUUUUUUUUUUCUUUUCUUUUCUUUUCUUUUCUUCCUCUCUCCUCUUCUCUCAUCUUCUCUCGUGUUCUCCGUCGAGGAGAAACAUCGACGGCGACGGAGCUUCGUCUUGGAAGCGGCGCCGCCUCGUUUCGUCACGCUUCGCCGCCUCGUUUCGUCACGCUUCGCCUCGUUUCGUCACGCUUCGCCUCAGGUUCGUGCUGAUCUCCAAAACAGUGUCGAUUUCGUUUUUAAGAUUGUUUAUACGGCUUUGACUCUUGAGUUUCUACUUUGUGAUGUGACUGCGAUGGUAGUCAGAUUUUAGCUUCCCCGAGGUCUUCGUUAGAGAUUGGAUAGGAAUUGCAAUUUUGAUUUCUGAUUUUGGGAAUUGGGAGAUGGAUUUGAUCCGAGUGUUAUAGAUGUAAUGAGAGCCGUGCAAUAGUUUUGAAUUGAUUUUGUGGGAAGCUUGAUGUGUAAUUGAAGAUAUUUCUUUCAAAUUAUUGGCACCUCUUUUAGGAUAUUUGGUCUGAUUAGCACUUCUUGUAGGCCGUCUCAGAACCUUGCUUUUUUUGUUUGGUUUGUCUAAUUUCUCAUUCCUUGCCUGGUCUCAUGGAUUCCGUUAGUCGGGGUACCGGGUUUCUAAGGAAUGAAUGUAUGAUACAUUCUGCUUUGUGGCUUCAACAAGAUACUUUGUAUGUUUUCCUAGGAAUUUUUUUCAAAACCAGAAGGAUAAGUCAAGCAUUGCCUUUGAUCCUUCUCUUUCUCUUUUGCAUUUAGUUGGGGUAAGGAUAGAUACUUCAGACCAUAUGCUUUAAUCCUUUUCAGGAAUUGACUGGAUUUGAGAUACAAGUCUUUAGUUUGCCUGAUGACUGCUUGAUAUCUAAAUCUUUAAAACAAUAAUAGUAUUCAGUAUUUUAUCGUAGGCUGUUCUGAGAGGGGAUUUGAUGCUCUUUCCUAAUUAUUUUCUAUUUGUACUCUCAGCUUAAGUAAGUUUUUAUCCGUGUAUUGCAGGCAUUUGACAUAGCUUUCCUUCAAAGUUCAUUGUCAAUUGUAUCAUUUGUUUCUAUGCUUUUGGAAUUGAAAGUACUUAUUUAUUGAUGCAAAGUCUUUCUGUUGGAUCAGUUGUAUGUGCCAACCUUUUUUUUAAAGAAAUUCCCAUUGGAGCAAGAAAAUUAGGUGAUUCUUAACUAAGGUCCUUAGCUAAAAUUUAAUAGUAAAUGUACUUAAGAAACCUUAUGAGUUUCUAGGGAUAAUCAUGCUCUAAUAAUAAUAUAAGAAAAUCUUGUCUAGUUUUGUAUUUCAUAUCACUUUAUAGUUUUUAUAACUUGAUUUUGAGGACAACAAUUAAAAUAACAUUAUGAAAAACAUAUAGUUAACCAAAUUUAAACUAGCUAUACUCUAAAUCUCAACUCAAUACAAGAUAUAUAACCAGACUUUUUAACCCCUUUGUAUCUUUGUGACCUAAUAUGAGUUUGAGAUCUUCUAGUUUCUGUUUUCUUCAAAGAUCACCCACCAGAAAACAACCGGUUUGUAACUGACACUAUCUCUUUUUCUUUAAAGAACAACAGUUGUCUGCUAGUAUAACUAAUUAACGGUUUUCCACAUUGUUAUAAUGAUGAUGAUGAUGAGCAUGUUGGUAACAUCAAAUAGAUUUCCUUGCCUUCUUUUCCAAAUGAUCAUGUUGACUCUAAAUAUAUAUUAGAAUAAGGAUAGAUUUUUCAUUAAUAUUUUGAACAAGUUCAUCUCCAUCCCAAUACACCAAUUAAACUCACAUGGAUGAGUCGUCUAGAUAAGUUUUAUUUUAGGCUAAAAUUAAAAACACUGAUACAUAUUUCAACUUAAAACGAACAUCAUCAAUUCUCCUCUACCUUGAAGAAUUAUCUUGCAUUGUCUCUUCCUUUGUUCUCUAUUUUCCUCCUUCUUCUUCUUGCAUUACUCUCAAAAACGCUUCAAGUGCUCUCUGCAUCCACUCAUACCGACACAGCUCUAGUGCUUCUUUAACAUUCAACUGCAAAUUUUUCAUGUGAUCCCAAAUUUAUAUAUGAAAUGACAUAAUCAUCAGUUCAUUCGAUCUUAUACUUGUUAUUAUAUUUUGAGCUUCUUACCCAUUUUCUUUGGCGAUUCCCACGUUCUGGCCAUUCCUGGAGUUCUUCGGUUACCUCUAAUGCAAACAUAUAGCCUUUGCAUCCACCAAAAGAUUCAUCCUCCGCAUUGGUACUAAUACUACUUUUGCUUCUAAAUUCCCAAACUCCUAAAGGAACUUCCUGAAACAAAUGACCAAUAAAUGAUAAACAAACUUUUUGAAUCACUUUUCCUUGAAGAUUGAAAACUUACUCUAAGUAUUCCUUUAACUCCAGCUUCUUCCAUGGCUUCGCGAGAAGCAGCUUCAAGAACGGUCUCAUCAUUUUCCCAUCCUCCCUGAUAAUAAUAGUAACAUAACACCAAAAAAAAUAAAGUUUUUAUAAAGACAGGAAGAGAGGGAGAUUUUCGAAAGAAAUUGAAAAAAAAACCUUUGGGAAGACAAGAUCAUGACGAUUAGGAGAUGAAACCAUGAGAACUUGAAGCUUGUUUACAAAGUCAACACUUGUGUCUUCUUCAAGUUCCUUGUCUUUGAUCAGACGAUACGGAAUGCAUCUGUUCAUCAAACACUAAGAAAUCAACCAUUUUGCUUUCUCGUUUUUGUAUAUGUUUCCGACAGUUGCAAACUUGCAAAACUGCUCAUCAUUCGAAAAAAAAGAAAUGAUUUUCUUAUAUUUACCCAGAAACGAGUCGGAAGUUGUUGUCGUAACGUUGACGAUCUCGUCCUGUCCGAGAUGAAAGAACCGACAUUGAUGAAUCUGCAACAAAAACANNNNNNNNNNNNNNNNNNNNNNNNNNNNNNNNNNNNNNNNNNNNNNNNNNNNNNNNNNNNNNNNNNNNNNNNNNNNNNNNNNNNNNNNNNNNNNNNNNNNUCCUUGAUGAGACGCUUACUAUGGUUGGUACUUUGUGAGGUGUGAGCAACAAGGUGAUUGACCAUAUGCUCUGCUUCCACACAAAAAAUGCCAUAUGCUGAGAUUUUUAUCUGCAGCCAAGAGUGUCAGAGAAAAUUCAGUUGUGACUUUUCAGUGGUCCUAAGAAGGUAUGUGGGGAGAUGAGAACAAGCCAAAUGAUGUGCAAAUGUGACACCAUAAUGGAGAACCACACUUGGGAAGCCCAAGUGAGAAGAAAAUAUUAGUGAAUCAUACAAAAAUGUGAAGAGGGAAGAGACUGAUCAAUAACAACUAUACAAAUGAAUGACAAAGCUAUCCAGAAUCUCAUCUUCUUUGCCUCCAUCUUAGCAAUUUUCUUUCCGAUAUUACUUAUGCCAACGAACCACAAAAAAAGUUAUCCGACAGAAGAUUAAAUCAUUGUUUACACAUUUACACUGUAAAGAUCACAUAUGUUUCACUGUAAAAAUGCUUUCAUUCUUCUGCUUUCAGAAGACUUGUCACUUGCAGCGAAAACGGCAUGCGCUCCGUGUGGUUGAAGACAUCAUUGUUGUAGUUCCAAAUACCAGUCCCAAGAGUAACCCGAGGAAGCAAACACAACAUAUAUUAGAUGGUAAGAACAAUUCUUGCAUUUAUUGGACACAAGAGUUCUUUACCAAGAAUCGGACAGCUGUUGUCUGAUCUAGCUUCUAGCUUGUUAUCACACAGUAAUCAAGUGGAAAACUCAUAUCAACUGCGUUUGAGAUUCCCCUUUGUGAUUUUCCAAAGAAAUGCUUCAUUCGUGACUUUGUAGAACACAAUCUUAGGUGUUGAGUUGGAUCUCGAAAAAAUGUCAAUGAUAGCUUCUUCACCAAAAUUUUGGUGAUGAAGCGACAUCGGAAGCGGUGAGAGGAGUGAGCUUGCAGUCUUUACCGGAUGCAGCAGUACGUACAAAGCCAUGAGAAUCAUGCCUUGCAGGUACAUGUCAUGUAUAGGAAUAUUUGCAAUGUUUAACUCUCGGUGUGUACUCCAAUGAGGUGGUAGUAUAAUGUGUUACCCUGUUUUUCUUUACUCUAACCUAAGAAUCCCACUAUCAUCGACGACCUUUCUUCUGCUGCAGAAAGGAACCUUUCCAACAAAUCAUACGCUAGAAAAGCACCUUUGAAAUCAUCCUUUAUGCCAUAUUGAAAUUGCGCAUUCCAGUCAUCUAUAGUGAACUGAUCUUGAACUAAACACAAUAAUGCAUUAGCACACAGUCAAAGCAAAAAAGGUAAAUCAUAUUUAUAGAUGUUUCUUUUAGUGUCUUCAUCGGUGGUAAUGGUGUUAUACUGUUGUCUUGUGAUUUAGAAAGGUCGAAUUUGGAUGUAUAUGAUUGGAAUCCAAUCAUCAUGCCUUGAUGAAAUAAAUUGAUUUGUUAUCAUAUCAGGAAAGAAAGUUUCAAAUGAAAAAAAAAAGAUCGAAAGAAAAUAAACUGAACCUAGCAAAGUUAAAUUGACAAUGUAGCUCUGAUCAGUAUGGGCCUUGAAGUGAACUCUGCUAGUGAUAGAUUGACCAUCAAUUACGUGAAUAUCCUACGAGAGAACACAUCGGAUACGGCAACAGUGCACAUGGUAGAACUGAACUACAAUACUCAGACGAUUUUAUUUUAAGGACUGCACUAAGAUUGUCUCGUGAACUGAUCCAUAAUACUCAGACGAUUUUAUUUUAAGGAGAUCUGAACUAAGAAGAUUGUUUUAACUAAUAACUAUAUAUACUAUUUAAGCAUUGAAAUCUUUUUAAAAUUUUGGUAAAAUCGUGUCAACUUUAUUAGAAGUCUUAAUUUCUAAGUCUCAUUUGCAUGCAUCCAACAGUAUCAUAAAAUGGUUCAUGCAAAUGAAAAAAAAAACAUGUUCACAAUCCUUUGAUGUUGUUUAAGAGAAAAAUAAUUAAAAUAUUAGUUUAUUCUGCCUAAAAAUACGUAAUAAUGUUAGAGAUUAAUAAUUUAUAACAAAGUGUUGCAAUAAAGUUCAAAUUAUAGAUACAAUAAAAUAUUAUAAAUUAAUAUUUGAUAAAUUAAUAAAAAAAUUCUGGUUUCAAGUUGAACUAUUUCAAAAUGUAACACAAAUCGAUAAGAUAAUAAAAUAAUAUUUUUUUAGAAAAACCUAUGUAAAUAUAUGGUCUAUUAAAAUUAUAAAUUAUUAAUUUAUAUGUAUAUAUAUAUUAUAUAUGUACAAGUUAAAAUGCUCUUGUUACUAUCCUCAACAUGUAAAGCUUGCACUGAGUGUUCUCCAAUCGUAUAAAUGAAUCUGCUUGACCUCUUUACUUUAUUCACUAUGCAAAGCUUGCAUUGACUCUUGAUGUAUGGUUUGUUGAUAAGAAAGUUUGAUACUUUGAUCUUGAAUUUUGCUCAUCAAUCUUUCUCUCUCUAGUCUGAUCCAUGGGAAGUGUGUAUCUAAAUAUUGUGCGUAAACUAUUAUGUUUAGUUUUCUAUUUGAUAAGUCCAAUGGGGCUCUAAAGUUAAACUACAAAUCUCAUUUGAAUAAGUUCUCCUGCAAGUAGGCUGUUGAGUAGACUGUAGAAGUAUCAGCUCCAGUGUUGUAAAUGUGCCAAGUCUAUACUAUGCAUUUCAACUACUUGAUCGUUGUACUAAAAAGAUAAACACUGCUUAAAAGUGGGACAAUAGUACAUUAAAUCUAAAGGGGGAAUGAAGGAGUAAUUGGAAGGUGGUUUUCUCUUGGUUUAUCAAGUUGUUUUUCACCGUAUUGAGCCGAGUUUAUGUAAUGAGUAAUGAGACUAAUCAUCCAUCAUCUCCUAUUCUACUUGAUAAAAUGCUUACCACAAUUGGUACUUUGUGAGGUCUAAGCAACAAGGUGACCGAUCAUGUGAUCUGCUUCCACACAAAAAAUGCCAUAUGCUGAGAUUUUAUCUGCAGGCAAGAGUGUCAGAGAAAAUUCAGUUGUGACUUUUCAAUGGUCCUAAGAUGAGAUGAGAACAAGCCAAAUGCAGUGCAAAUGUGACCACAUGAUGGAGAAGCCCACUUGAGCAAAGCCCAAGUGAGAAGAAAAAAUCAGUGAAUCGUACAAAAACGUGAAGAGGGAAGAGAGUGAUCAAUCACAACCAUACAAACGAAUGACAAAGCUAUCCAGAAUCUCAUCUUCUUUGCCUCCAGCUCAGCAAUUCUCUUUCCUAUAUUACUUAUCUCUCCCUUCAACAUUGCUUUCUGUCCUCAUUUUUUCUGCUGCUACAGUUUAUACAGCUUCUCUCUCUCUGGUAGCCAUGGCUUCGGCUACUUUCUCUGUCGCCAAACCAUCUCUUCAGGUUUUGUUUCAUUUUGCAUUCCUCAAUUGUCUUACUGCACUUCAUUAGUUACAUCAUCAUGAUCUGAUACUCUAUAUGUUUUUACAUUUCAGGGUUUCUCUGACUUCUCAGGACUUCGAAACUCCUCUGCUCUUCCCUUCGGCAAGAAGUCUUCUUCCGAUGAGUUUGUUUCCUUCGUCAGCUUCCAGACUUCUGCAGUGAGUUCCUUUCCUCUUGGUUUCUUCUGUGUUAUGUCUCUUGUGUGCAUCUUUAUGAACCAAGUACAUGUUGUUAUUUUUCUGUGUUGUAGAUGGGAAGCAAUGGUGGAUACAGGAAAGGAGUGACCGAGGCCAAGCUAAAGGUAGCCAUCAAUGGAUUCGGUAGGAUCGGCAGGAACUUCUUGAGAUGCUGGCACGGUCGUAAAGACUCUCCUCUCGAUGUUAUCGCCAUUAACGACACUGGUGGUGUCAAACAAGCAACGCAUCUCCUCAAAUACGACUCCACUCUUGGAAUCUUCGAUGCUGAUGUCAAGCCUUCAGGAGACUCCGCUCUCUCCGUUGAUGGAAAGAUCAUCAAGAUUGUUUCUGACCGUAACCCAUCCAACCUCCCCUGGGGGUAAGUCAAACAAAAAAAACAACACUUAAAAGAUUGUUUGAUUUUUUUCAAAUUGAUCUAAAACUUUUAUGAACGUAUCUGGUGAUGAUGGUUAGGGAACUAGGCAUUGACUUGGUCAUCGAAGGAACCGGAGUGUUUGUAGACAGAGAAGGUGCUGGAAAGCACAUUCAAGCUGGAGCCAAGAAGGUUCUGAUCACUGCACCUGGUAAAGGUGAUAUCCCAACUUAUGUCGUUGGUGUCAAUGCUGAACUUUACAGCCAUGAAGACACAAUCAUCAGCAAUGCUUCUUGUACCACUAACUGUCUCGCACCAUUCGUCAAGGUUCUUGACCAGAAGUUCGGUAAGCAUCAUUAGCCUAUAGUAAUGACUACAUAAUGUAACUUAAAGACUAAACUUUUUACUUAUUUUUGUGUUGAACAUGGUAGGGAUCAUAAAGGGUACAAUGACAACUACUCACUCAUACACUGGUGACCAAAGGCUGCUAGAUGCUAGCCACCGUGAUCUAAGGAGAGCAAGAGCAGCGGCUUUGAACAUCGUUCCAACAUCUACAGGAGCAGCUAAGGCCGUGGCGCUAGUGCUCCCUAACCUCAAAGGGAAACUCAAUGGAAUCGCGUUGCGUGUGCCAACUCCCAACGUCUCGGUGGUUGACUUAGUUGUGCAGGUCUCCAAGAAGACUUUUGCUGAAGAGGUUAACGCUGCUUUCAGGGAUGCAGCUGAGAAAGAGCUUAAAGGUAUACUCGAUGUCUGCGAUGAGCCUCUUGUCUCUGUUGACUUCAGGUGCUCUGAUGUGUCCUCCACCAUUGAUUCUUCUCUGACCAUGGUUAUGGGAGAUGAUAUGGUUAAAGUGAUUGCUUGGUAUGAUAAUGAAUGGGGUUACUCUCAGAGAGUUGUUGAUUUGGCUGACAUUGUUGCCAAUAACUGGAAGUGAAGACCUCAUCUUUUGAUGUCUGCUCCAUUUUUUAUUACUGUUAUAUGAUUCGGAAUGUAUAAUUGUAGUUCCUGAGUUUAUGUAUUUGUGCUCUGCAAUUUUAUAGUAAUAAAC
RNAcentral lists this long non-coding RNA (10568 nucleotides) under Brassica napus (rape). Its description in RNAcentral is "long non-coding RNA (BNAP_LNC016941)". Lineage: Eukaryota; Viridiplantae; Streptophyta; Magnoliopsida; Brassicales; Brassicaceae. The record is from RNAcentral.